Molecule: non-coding RNA, 653 nt
Organism: Antechinus flavipes (yellow-footed antechinus)
Lineage: Eukaryota; Metazoa; Chordata; Mammalia; Dasyuromorphia; Dasyuridae
Source: the annotation of a RefSeq genome assembly
AAAGCUUCCUCCCUCCUUCCUGCCCCUCAGGGCUCUGGCUGCUCUCUGCUCAGUCUCUGAAGGCCAGGAUGAGCUCCCCAUGGCAGCUGCUCUGGCUCCUGGUGCUCUGGGCUCAGGAUUCCCAAGGAGCCAUUGUGCUGACCCAGUCUCCAGCCUCCUUGUCCGCAUCUCCAAGGGAGACAGUCACCAUCAGCUGCAAGGCCAGUCAGAGUGUAUCUGGUUCUAGUUACAGCUACUUAAACUGGUACCAGCAGAAACCUGGCCAAGCCCCCAGGCUGCUCAUCUACCAUGCUAACAACCUGGCAUCCGGGGUCCCUGCCCGGUUCAGUGGCCGUGGGUCUGGGACAGAUUACACUCUCACCAUCAGCAGCCUGGAGCCUGAGGAUGCUGCACAUUAUUACUGUCAGCAGGGUUGGAGCUCCCCUCUCGCACAGUGUUUCAGGCCCGAACAAAAACCUCCCCCGUGUGUCCAGGGGACUCAGCUCAGAGCAGCAGGCCACCAGGAAUCUAGAGCACCCAAAGCGCAUCCCAGGGAUGCUGCUCCCUCAGGCAGAGCUGACUGGGAGCAGGGGAGCCUGGAGCUCCUGCAGCUGGAGAAGUUGGACACCAAGGAGGAGGGCCGGCCCAGCCCCGGGUCAGGCUUUUCCCUAUAG